This 639-nucleotide ribosomal RNA is filed under the name [Candida] sp. CRUB 1220. Its description in RNAcentral is "eukaryotic LSU rRNA". It matches the Rfam family "Eukaryotic large subunit ribosomal RNA", at positions 270 to 931 of the family's 3401-position model. Lineage: Eukaryota; Fungi; Ascomycota; Saccharomycetes; Saccharomycetales. The record is from RNAcentral.
UUGUUUGGGAAUGCAGCUCUAAGUGGGUGGUAAAUUCCAUCUAAAGCUAAAUAUUGGCGAGAGACCGAUAGCGAACAAGUACAGUGAUGGAAAGAUGAAAAGAACUUUGAAAAGAGAGUGAAAAAGUACGUGAAAUUGUUGAAAGGGAAGGGCUUGAGAUCAGACUUGGUAUUUUGUGUGCCUUUCCUUUUUGGUUAGGUUUCUGCAGCUUACUGGGCCAGCAUCGGUUUGGGUGGCAGGAUAAUGACAUUGGAAUGUAGCUUGACUUCGGUGAAGUGUUAUAGACUUUGUUGAUACUGCCUAUCUAGACCGAGGACUGCGUCUUUGACUAGGAUGCUGGCGUAAUGAUCUUAAGCCGCCCGUCUUGAAACACGGACCAAGGAGUCUAACGUCUAUGCAAGUGUUUGGGUGUAAAACCCGUACGCGUAAUGAAAGUGAACGUAGGUGAGAGCCUUUAUAGGUGCAUCAUCGACCGAUCCUGAUGUCUUCGGAUGGAUUUGAGUAAGAGCAUAGCUGUUGGGACCCGAAAGAUGGUGAACUAUGCCUGAAUAGGGUGAAGCCAGAGGAAACUCUGGUGGAGGCUCGUAGCGGUUCUGACGUGCAAAUCGAUCGUCGAAUUUGGGUAUAGGGGCGAAAGAC